Molecule: ribosomal RNA, 512 nt
Filed under: uncultured bacterium
Lineage: Bacteria
Description: partial 16S ribosomal RNA
Rfam family: Bacterial small subunit ribosomal RNA
Source: RNAcentral
AUUGAACGCUGGCGGCGUGCUUAACACAUGCAAGUCGAACGCGAAAGGGACUUCGGUCCUGAGUAAAGUGGCGCACGGGUGAGUAACGCGUGGAUAAUCUGCCCUUAUGAUCGGGAUAACAGUUGGAAACGGCUGCUAAUACCGGAUACGCUCAAAAUGAACUUUUUGAGGAAAGAUGGCCUCUGCUUGCAUGCUAACGCGUAAGGAUGAGUCCGCGUCCCAUUAGCUUGUUGGCGGGGUAACGGCCCACCAAGGCAUCGAUGGGUAGCCGAUUUGAGAGGAUGAUCGGCCACACUGGAACUGAAACACGGUCCAGACUCCUACGGGAGGCAGCAGUGGGGAAUAUUGCGCAAUGGGCGAAAGCCUGACGCAGCGACGCCGCGUGAGGGAUGAAGGUUUUCGGAUCGUAAACCUCUGUCAGAAGGGAAGAAACUACGUUGUGCUAAUCAGCAGCGUACUGACGGUACCUUCAAAGGAAGCACCGGCUAACUCCGUGCCAGCCGCCGCAGUAA